GAACCCUUGGCGCAGCGGUAGCGCGUCUGAUUCCAGCCAUCCCGCAGGCAGCAGUCGCAAGCGCUGCGCUAUGGUUAUAAGUCAAGGAUCCAGAAGGUCGUCCGUUCAAUCCGGGCAGGGUUCA
Non-coding RNA from Schizophyllum commune H4-8, 124 nucleotides. NCBI's taxonomy places the organism in Eukaryota, Fungi, Basidiomycota, Agaricomycetes, Agaricales, Schizophyllaceae. The record is from the annotation of a RefSeq genome assembly.